Carassius gibelio (silver crucian carp) is the source of this 485-nucleotide long non-coding RNA. RefSeq lists it as uncharacterized. The record is from RefSeq and is a predicted model, not a curated record. Lineage: Eukaryota; Metazoa; Chordata; Actinopteri; Cypriniformes; Cyprinidae. The transcript is spliced from 3 exons.
CAAAUAUAAUAAUACAGAUAAAAAUUAAAUCUACAAUACAAAAUUGCUCAACACUUUCUUUCAGAUGUUCAAACCCAGUCCUAAAGACCCACAUCCGAAGCCACUUAAGAAAAACAGUGUGAUCGCUGGAGAGAGUAAGAAAAAGGGGAAUUGGAAGCUGCUGACCACUUCUUCCGUAUACUGGCUCUGGAGGACAUUCUCGGUUUGUCUGUUCUUUUCUCCAGCUGUCAGAACAGACAGUACUGCAUCUUCCUGCUUUACUGUCUCGCCCAGCCAACGAGCCAACGCUACCACAGGGCUCCAGACUAAAAUUUAACAGCUGUGGCACCAGUGCCAAUAAGUUCUACAGAUGGGGAUGCCAGGAGCAGAUAUGGUAGCAUUGGGGUUGGUUUGGUGUGUAUUAAAAAUAAAGAUAAUUUAAUAAAAACAAAAAAUAGUAUUGUUUUGCAUUAAUAAGUGCAGUCACUAAUAAAAUUUCAUGUUCA